Molecule: ribosomal RNA, 279 nt
Filed under: uncultured bacterium
Lineage: Bacteria
Description: partial 16S ribosomal RNA
Rfam family: Bacterial small subunit ribosomal RNA
Source: RNAcentral
UGCCAGCCGCCGCGGUAAUACGAAGGUCCCAAGCGUUGUUCGGAAUUACUGGGUUUAAAGGGUCCGCAGGCGGUCUUUUAAGUCAGAGGUGAAAGCCUACAGCUCAACUGUAGAACGGCCUUUGAUACUGAAAGACUUGAGUUAUUGUGAAGUGGUUAGAAUGUGUGGUGUAGCGGUGAAAUGCAUAGAUAUCACACAGAAUACCGAUUGCGAAGGCAGAUCACUAACAAUAUACUGACGCUCAUGGACGAAAGCGUGGGGAGCGAACAGGAUUAGAUA